AGUGAACGCUGGCGGUAGGCCUAAUACAUGCAAGUCGAACGGCCGCACAGUAAGAGCUUGCUCUUACGGGUGGCGAGUGGCGGACGGGUGAGGAAUACAUCGGCAUCUACUUUUUCGUGGGGGAUAACGUAGGGAAACUUACGCUAAUACCGCAUACGAUCUACGGGUGAAAGCAGGGGUUCUUCGGACCUUGCGCGAUUGAAUGAGCUGAUGUCGGAUUAGCUAGUUGGCGGGGUAAAGGCCCACCAAGGCGACGAUACGUAGCUGGUCUGAGAGGAUGAUCAGCCACACUGGAACUGAGACACGGUCCAGACUCCUACGGGAGGCAGCAGUGGGGAAUAUUGGACAAUGGGCGCAAGCCUGAUCCAGCCAUACCGCGUGAGUGAAGAAGGCCUUCGGGUCGUAAAGCCCUUUUGUUGGGAAAGAAAAGCAGCAUGUUAAUACCCCGCUGUUCUGACGGUACCCAAAGAGUAAGCACCGGCUAACUUCGUG
This 492-nucleotide ribosomal RNA is filed under the name uncultured bacterium. RNAcentral's name for it is "partial 16S ribosomal RNA". It matches the Rfam family "Bacterial small subunit ribosomal RNA", at positions 29 to 507 of the family's 1533-position model. The record is from RNAcentral.